This is a long non-coding RNA of Sarcophilus harrisii (Tasmanian devil), 2717 nucleotides long. RefSeq lists it as uncharacterized. NCBI's taxonomy places the organism in Eukaryota, Metazoa, Chordata, Mammalia, Dasyuromorphia, Dasyuridae. The transcript has 2 exons. The record is from RefSeq and is a predicted model, not a curated record.
CACACACACACACACACACAAAAACAUGCAGAUGGAGUACUUGGUGGAGAGAGAGUUUAGAACAUGGUCCUUAAUUCCCUUCCACAGCUGAGACUCUUUGGUUCUGCCUUUCCUAAUUGUGUGUCAUGAAUCUUUCUUGUAAGGGGUGGACAAGUGUUGUCUGCCUCAUGGGAGGUCCUCGUUGGAGAACCAGCUUCUGGACCCUAGAGCUCCUGGGUGAGGCCCUGACAGUGUAUAUAUGAGUACCUUCUCUGUGAUCCUCUUGGUUCUUACAGAUCUGUAAGCAUGGUCGACUGCAGGGACUAUUUCUCCUUUUUCCCCCAAGGCCCAGAAUAUUCCCCAAUGGCUCACCUGCUAGUUUGUGUUUUCCCAUGGCUAGAAAGGGCAGACUUGGGUUCAGAGACUGAUUCCAACCCCUGCCUCAGGCAGACACUAGCUGUGUGACCUUAAGUCUUUCUCACCUCUGCUUGCUCAUCUGUCACCUGGGCAGAAGGCUAGCUGCCCCCACCCCCCACCCCCGGGAGGUUGUGGAGUUCAGGUGACAUACCCUAUGCAUAUUGCUUUGCCUUCCUGCUGCUGCUGUGUAAAUACUAGUUACCCUUAUGGUCUUAACUGUUGUUUGACAGAAAUCUCCUCAGUUCUCUCCUGGGCCAGAGGAGCUCAGUGAACGCAGAUACCUCAAAAGUUUUUUGUUUUUUUUCCUUGUCCCUCUGAAUCAUCUAGACUAGUUCCAGAUGGGUUCCCAGGAGUGGGAGAGAGAAGGGCAGUGGCCCCCUCUCCUGCCUGGCCUUCCCUGGCUGUGGCAUCAUGGUCCCCCUGCUGUUACUGUGUCUGACCCUUCCUAGUCUUUUCCCCCAGAAGCCCUGCUGGAUUUGUGAAGGCCUGACAGUGAGUGGGAUAGCUGCCCUGGCUCAGCUGAGAUCAGGGCAAGAUUCUGUGUCAGGCCUGGAUGACCACAUGGGGCAUAUUGUCCAUGGUCCCAGGAUGGAGUGAUCUCCACAUAGGGGGUUUUGGUCUUAUUUGGUGUCCUCUUUGUCUCCUGCCCAGGAAUGCAGCUCUGUCUGCCAGGAGGAUUCCUCUCACUUUUUCCUCCUUCCAUAUAUAAGGAAGUCUUCCCCUCACUGUAUCACCUCGCUUCUAUUUAAUACAAUUCAAAAAGCCUUUAUUCAGGCUUCCUCUGGGUCCAGUGCUAGGAACAGAAGAAUACUUUGAAAAGUCCUCUCUUACCCAACGAGCUGGAAACCGUUAUUUCUCCACUCCUUAUCUACAUGGGAGAUGUUGAGCAGGAAAAGACCCUAGUGGCAAGCUCUACGGUCUGAUCCCUUCAUUGCAUGCUCAUGGAAACUGAAGCCCCAAAUGGUUAGGCACUUUUCCCAAGGAGAAACAGCUCAGGAAAUCUUUGAUCCCUGUCUUCUGAUUCCAAAUGGAAAUUUUAUUCUGUGCUGGAGAAGGGGUCUCUCUUGGGGAAACUGAAGGUCAGUGUGAUAGAGCUUAGCUUUAGGUCACUGGGACGUUCAGUAGCAGCCUAGUCCUGCUACAUGGACCCCAGAAGUGUUUACUGACCCUCAAAGAAUGGGCAAGAACUGUUCCUUUUUCCAUUCUAGACUCCUGGGGAUGUAGAGGUGUGUCUGGGCAAUCCAUCAAUGGAGAAAAGUCCUGUUUUGAGGGAAAGACCUGCUCUCCUUCCCACACCUUGUCUCUUCCUGUUAUCUUCCUCCCUCAUCUACCACCUGUCCAAAUCUCUCCCUGCCCUUGCAAUGCUUGACCCAAAGCUCCAAGAACCCUGCUGUCCCUGGUUCUCCCAGCAUUGUCAUGAUUGCCUUCUGACAGGAUACAGGCUGCUUAGAGGGAGGACAGGUUAGAUGCUCUCAGCCUCUUUCCAGCUCUGAGGGGGAGGGUGUGUGUGUGUGUGUGUGUUGUAAAUGGGUACUUUCCAUUAACCAUAUAUUUUAUUUCUGUAUACUGAGGUGUCUAUGAUGAUCCUCAAGGGGGGUGGGGGGUUUACUUUUUUUUUUUUAUUUUAUGUCCUCACUAGCAGCAAGUUUAAAGCUGGGAGGGUUUAAUCACUUUUGUAAUCACUUGUUAAUUGUUUAAGAUUCUUUUAAUUGUCUGCUGAAACAAGAGUUCAGUAGAAUUAGUCAGUACAAAAAGGGCUACUUUCCUUCCCCACUGUGAAUCCUGUAAAAAGUGGUUCCAGGUGGGUCCCCAGAGUUGGGUGGAAGGGGCAAUUGUCCUCUCUCCCACCUGGCCUCCAUAUGGCCACGAGGCCAUCCCUAACGAGUGAGUGUGUGUGUGUGUGAGCAGCAUGUUUGGCACCUCUGAGUGGGUCCGCGUGAAUGGUCCUGAGGCAUGUAUGGGUGUUGUGUGUGGGUUGUGUUUCUGUGGUUGGGUGUGUAUCCUUUGUGAAUAGUAGGUAAAUGUGUAUCCAGGUCUCCAGCGAUUGGCUGGGUUAAUAGAUUGUAAAAGCUGUACAUGUUCGGAGAGGCCUGUGGACGGGCACCUGGCUUUUCCACAAAGUAUGGCCUGGAAAACUGCUUUCAGUAGCGAAUGCCCAUCCUCCUAUCAGGAGGGGGCGGACAGGUCCCAGCCUAGGGGGCGGGCGGUCUCCCUUUGCAGGUGGCUUGCCCUGGACAUCUCCCAGCCUUGUCCCUGUCGUGAUUCUGUGAGUCACCGGACCUCUUCUCCGAGCCGGAAUAAAGGACUUAUUCUGGACCCUA